GGCGGCGUGCCUAACACAUGCAAGUCGCACGAGAAAGGGACUUCGGUCCUGAGUACAGUGGCGCACGGGUGAGUAACACGUGAAUCAUCUACCUUCGAGUGGGGAAUAACUGAGAGAAAUCUUAGCUAAUACCGCAUAAUACCUACGGGUCAAAGCAGCAAUGCGCUUGAAGAGGAGUUCGCGGCAGAUUAGUUAGUUGGCGGGGUAAUGGCCCACCAAGACGAUGAUCUGUAUCCGGCCUGAGAGGGCGCACGGACACACUGGAACUGAAACACGGUCCANACUCCUACGGGAGGCAGCAGUGGGGAAUUUUGCGCAAUGGGGGAAACCCUGACGCAGCAACGCCGCGUGGAGGAUGAAAUCCCUUGGGAUGUAAACUCCUUUCGAUGGGGAAGAUAAUGACGGUACCCAUAGAAGAAGCCCCGGCUAACUUCGUGCCAGCAGCCGCGGUAAUACGAGGGGG
RNAcentral lists this ribosomal RNA (463 nucleotides) under uncultured Acidobacteriota bacterium. Its description in RNAcentral is "bacterial SSU rRNA". It matches the Rfam family "Bacterial small subunit ribosomal RNA", at positions 38 to 533 of the family's 1533-position model. Lineage: Bacteria; Pseudomonadati; Acidobacteriota. The record is from RNAcentral.